This 404-nucleotide ribosomal RNA is filed under the name Actinomycetes bacterium. Its description in RNAcentral is "Actinobacteria bacterium partial 16S ribosomal RNA". It matches the Rfam family "Bacterial small subunit ribosomal RNA", at positions 355 to 776 of the family's 1533-position model. Lineage: Bacteria; Bacillati; Actinomycetota; Actinomycetes. The record is from RNAcentral.
UGGGGAAUAUUGGACAAUGGGCGCAAGCCUGAUCCAGCCAUGCCGCGUGAGUGAUGAAGGCCCUAGGGUUGUAAAGCUCUUUCACCGGUGAAGAUAAUGACGGUAACCGGAGAAGAAGCCCCGGCUAACUGCGUGCCAGCAGCCGCGGUAAUACGAAGGGGGCUAGCGUUGUUCGGAUUUACUGGGCGUAAAGCGCACGUAGGCGGACUAUUAAGUCAGGGGUGAAAUCCCGGGGCUCAACCCCGGAACUGCCUUUGAUACUGGUAGUCUUUAGUUCGAGAGAGGUGAGUGGAAUUCCGAGUGUAGAGGUGAAAUUCGUAGAUAUUCGGAGGAACACCAGUGGCGAAGGCGGCUCACUGGCUCGAUACUGACGCUGAGGUGCGAAAGCGUGGGGAGCAAACAGG